GGGUCAGUAGGUUGGUCGUGCCACCGGUACGUACUGGUCUCACUGAUUCCUCCUUCCUGAAGAACCUUAAUGCCAUUAAUUUGGUGUUGCGGGGAAACAGGACUGUUACCUUGAAAAAAUUAGAGUGUUUAAGGCAAGCUAACGCUUGAAUACAUUAGCAUGGAAUAAUGAAAUAGGACGAUCGAUCCUAUUUUGUUGGUUUCUAGGAUUGACGUA
RNAcentral lists this ribosomal RNA (216 nucleotides) under Glomeromycotina sp. RNAcentral's name for it is "partial small subunit ribosomal RNA". The stretch from base 40 to 216 matches the Rfam family "Eukaryotic small subunit ribosomal RNA", at positions 686 to 864 of the family's 1831-position model. The record is from RNAcentral. Lineage: Eukaryota; Fungi; Glomeromycota.